RNAcentral lists this ribosomal RNA (253 nucleotides) under uncultured bacterium. RNAcentral's name for it is "partial 16S ribosomal RNA". It matches the Rfam family "Bacterial small subunit ribosomal RNA", at positions 524 to 776 of the family's 1533-position model. The record is from RNAcentral.
UACGUAGGGUGCGAGCGUUAAUCGGAAUUACUGGGCGUAAAGCGUGCGCAGGCGGUUUUGUAAGCCCGAUGUGAAAGCCCCGGGCUUAACCUGGGAAUGGCAUUUGGGACUGCAAGGCUUGAGUGCGGCAGAGGAGACUGGAAUUCCUGGUGUAGCAGUGAAAUGCGUAGAUAUCAGGAGGAAUACCGAUGGCGAAGGCAGGUCUCUGGGCUGACACUGACGCUCAUGCACGAAAGCGUGGGGAGCAAACAGG